Molecule: long non-coding RNA, 1904 nt
Organism: Micropterus salmoides (largemouth bass)
Lineage: Eukaryota; Metazoa; Chordata; Actinopteri; Centrarchiformes; Centrarchidae
Exons: 2
Source: RefSeq, a predicted model, not a curated record
AUUCCAUUCUGCUUGCACGUUUCACGUAGCGGUUCAUCUAUUGUCAUCUAACAUCGGUAAUUUUCUGGAAGCGUCCAUUCCAUUCAAAAAUCAUCAAGCAACAUAUUGGACCGUUGAACCCUCGUCCCACCCACAGUGGGAGCCGAACCUCUAACUUGUACUAUUUCAGUGCCACGCUUUCAUAAACUAAACAUGACAUCUAAGUUGUAGGAACCGCAUAGGCUACUUGAGUAGUAGUUGUUGUGGUUUGCGAUACAUGUUUGUAUAAGUUUGGUUUUAGUUGAUCUCCCGUUAAAGAUUCCUUUCUUUUGUCGGAGGUUUGGGCUCUUUUUAAGCAAAGAGAGAAGGAGAGAGAGAGGGGGGAAAACAAGACAAUUAAAAAGAUUGACAGGUAGGCUCCUCUGUCAGGGGUGACGCUUGUGGAGAGGGGAGGAGUAAAAAUGUAGCAGGAAAAGCCACUCGAUGCGUCUGUCUAUCAGUUGAGACUGUCUGAAACAGCUUCUGGAUCCACCGCGUUUCCAUUUUUUCUUUUUUGGUGAGACCUCGGAUCGGUCCCUGGAGUUUUUCCCCCCUCUUUGUGCUUUUAAAAGAGACACUAAAUUUUAGUCCAUGUCGACCUGAUCUGUUCUUGGCGAAGCUUGGAUGCGCCUGCGUCUUGUUUGUUUCCCCCCUCUCUCAAGUGAUAUCCUCUCCACCGCAUCAACCACCCCUCCAAAAAAACCCGACUCUGUCCAAGAUGCGAUGAGAUGAGCGGUGGAAAUUAUUUCCACGACUCUUAAAACGUCUCCGGCAAAAGCAGAAAAGGAAACACAAGGAUACACUACUUAUCAGAGCUGUGCGGUGCGCUCACACGGGACGUAUUUGUUUGGUUAAAGCCAGAGUUUAUUUAUUUUUUAGUGUUGGUGUGCGUAAAAGGCGCAACAAAGUAUCGUCCCCCUCCAAACAUCUCUGGAGAUUAAGGGGAUUUUUUUCCCAGGGGGAGUGAACUGAAAACUUGGGUUUCAAGGUGCUUUCUAGCUGCUGCUCCGUCUGUUUUUUUUAUUUACCCUGCCAUAAGAGACAUGAAGGAAGAUGAUCUUUGAAGGACAUGAAGGUGUCAGGAGCUGGCCGAAUCCCUUCGUAAAAAUUGAGCUUACUGUCGAAGCCGAUCCAGCUUUCAAGUCCACAAAAGAGCAGCCCAUUUAAAGAGACGACAUUUUCACCUCCGAGAUCAAACCCCUUCCCCCGAAAAACGGGAUGAUUUUUCCAAACUGAUAGACUUGAUUUGUUUUUAAUUCCUGCAUGAGAAGCACCGUGGAAAGUGAGGGUCACUAUGCCGAGGAGAAAGCAGCAAGAGCCGCGGCGAUCAGCAGGUAUAACCGCCUCUCCAUACCGACCAUUUCCCAUCCCAGUAGCCAACUAGUUUUUAUUUACAAGUGUUAAAUGAAAAUAUGUCCUCCCACAUCACAUUCUUUAGCUGUACAGCAUGCUGAGCUUUAUUUUACAACUCUGUUCAAAUUAUGUUUGUUGUCUUAUUAACAGAGCGCGCAACUCAAUCCCUGACCCACCGUUGUGUUUUAAAUGUGUUUAAUUGCGCAAAUGGCGCACAUAUCUGCGCAGUGCCACUGAGAUUUUUUUUUUUUAAAACCCUCCUUUGCCAGGAAAGUUCUCUUAAGAAUGGUGAGAUAAACUAAAUGGCAUGUUAUGGGGGAUAAAAGGGAGCUUUUGAGGUUCAAGAGUGAGUAAUGAUGAAUAAUUGACUGGGAAAGAAGAGGAGAAAACUGGUGAGAGCCGUUUUUUCCCUUUCUUUCUAUUUUAUUAGAGGAUUGCCAUCCUUGAUUUGAUGCGUGAUUGAUCGCCUGUCAUGUGGCAGUCUUUGAUCUAUUCAUCCCUGAUAAACAUCAAUAAAUCCUUCCAUGAAGACA